Molecule: ribosomal RNA, 692 nt
Filed under: Lachnum virgineum
Lineage: Eukaryota; Fungi; Ascomycota; Leotiomycetes; Helotiales; Lachnaceae
Description: partial large subunit ribosomal RNA
Rfam family: Eukaryotic large subunit ribosomal RNA
Source: RNAcentral
CGCCCGUGUAAAGCUCUUUCGACGAGUCGAGUUGUUUGGGAAUGCAGCUCAAAAUGGGUGGUAAAUUUCAUCUAAAGCUAAAUAUUGGCCAGAGACCGAUAGCGCACAAGUAGAGUGAUCGAAAGAUGAAAAGCACUUUGGAAAGAGAGUUAAACAGUACGUGAAAUUGUUGAAAGGGAAGCGCUUGCAACCAGACUUAGUUGCGGCCGAUCAUCUAGGGUUCUCCCUGGUGCACUCGGUCGUAUCUAGGCCAGCAUCGGUUUGGGUGGUGGGAUAAAGGCCUUGGGAAUGUAGCUCCUUUCGGGGAGUGUUAUAGCCCUCGGUGCAAUGCCGCCUACCUGGACCGAGGACCGCGCUUCGGCUAGGAUGCUGGCGUAAUGGUUGUAAGCGACCCGUCUUGAAACACGGACCAAGGAGUCUAACAUCUAUGCGAGUAUUUGGGUGUCAAACCCAUAUGCGUAAUGAAAGUGAACGGAGGUGAGAACCCUUAAGGGUGCAUCAUCGACCGAUCCUGAUGUCUUCGGAUGGAUUUGAGUAAGAGCAUAGCUGUUGGGACCCGAAAGAUGGUGAACUAUGCCUAAAUAGGGUGAAGCCAGAGGAAACUCUGGUGGAGGCUCGCAGCGGUUCUGACGUGCAAAUCGAUCGUCAAAUUUGGGUAUAGGGGCGAAAGACUAAUCGAACCAUCUAGUAGC